UUAGAUAUAAAUAGAUCAAAUUGUUUACCGGAGUACUACGAAUAAAACCGUUUAAAACUCAAAGAGCUUGGCGGUGCUUUAGACUUCUCAGGGGAACCUGUCUCGUAAUCGACAGUCCACGUAUCAACCUCACCUUUUUUUGCAAUCAGUAUGUAUACCGUCGUCGCCAGGUAACUUUUAAAAAUAUAGAAGUUAGCAAGAAAACUUUUUAGUUUUUACGUCAGAUCAAGGUGCAGCUAAUAAAAAGGAGAAGAUGGGUUACAAUUAAGAUUCAUAAUUACGGAAGUUAGUCUUAAUGAUUAAUUAUGAAGGCGGACUUGAAAGUAUGAAUCAGUAGUCAAAUGUUCUGAAUUCAGCUCUGAAGCG
This 366-nucleotide ribosomal RNA is filed under the name Echinolittorina santelenae. Its description in RNAcentral is "partial 12S ribosomal RNA". Lineage: Eukaryota; Metazoa; Mollusca; Gastropoda; Littorinimorpha; Littorinidae. The record is from RNAcentral.